UUUAAUAUUGUUUAUAGUUGUCAGAUUAUGGGUUUUAUAUGUCAGAAGUUCGCACUCACGAAAGGUUUCGCUGGACGCAUUGCUUGAGGACCGUCGCCGCCAUGUUCCUGGUUUUACUCUUUGUGUCUGUGUUUGUUCAGACGGCGCGGAGGGUUUGCACCAAAGUCGCUUCGAUCCUUGGCCGUCGUCGUCCGCCCAAGAGUCCGCAGUAGCGAGCAGGGCCCUGGCGGACUACGGCAAACCUUUUAAAUUAUCGUACUCGAAGGAAGAUGGCCCAAGAUUUGGAGGACGAAACAACGAAGAAGAACCGAUGUACUAUGAGUCUUGAUUUCUCAGCCAAAGCCACAGAUGCAGUAGUUUCCAGGGCUCCUGGCUUCUUGUAUGUACCUGAUGAUGCUCUGCCUUACGAAUAUCCUUCAAGAGUGGAUGAAAAAUACAGGAUCGUAGUUCCUGUAUAUCCUUAAAUUAAUUUCAAGUACUCAGUAUUAAAAAUAUCGUCACAGUUUCUGUUAUAAUGACACAGAAUAUGAUAAUUUAGAAUUAAGAUUUGCACUUAACAUGGAGAUUGUACUACUAAUUUGAUUGAUGAACAAAUAAAUUUAAUUAAUAUAAUAUUA
Molecule: RNA transcript, 617 nt
Organism: Zootermopsis nevadensis
Lineage: Eukaryota; Metazoa; Arthropoda; Insecta; Blattodea; Termopsidae
Source: RefSeq, a predicted model, not a curated record